GACGAACGCUGGCGGCGUGCCUAAUACAUGCAAGUAGAACGCACAGUUUAUACCGUAGCUUGCUACACCAUAGACUGUGAGUUGCGAACGGGUGAGUAACGCGUAGGUAACCUGCCUGGUAGCGGGGGAUAACUAUUGGAAACGAUAGCUAAUACCGCAUAAUAUUGAUUAUUGCAUGAUAAUUGAUUGAAAGAUGCUAUUGCAUCACUACCAGAUGGACCUGCGUUGUAUUAGCUAGUAGGUGAGGUAACGGCUCACCUAGGCGACGAUACAUAGCCGACCUGAGAGGGCGAUCGGCCACACUGGGACUGAGACACGGCCCAGACUCCUACGGGAGGCAGCAGUAGGGAAUCUUCGGCAAUGGACGAAAGUCUGACCGAGCAACGCCGCGUGAGUGAAGAAGGUUGUCGGAUCGUAAAGCUCUGUUGUAAGAGAAGAACGGGUGUGAGAGUGGAAAGUUCACACUGUGACGGUAUCUUACCAGAAAGGGACGGCUAACUACGUG
RNAcentral lists this ribosomal RNA (505 nucleotides) under uncultured bacterium. RNAcentral describes it as "partial 16S ribosomal RNA". It matches the Rfam family "Bacterial small subunit ribosomal RNA", at positions 28 to 507 of the family's 1533-position model. The record is from RNAcentral.